Molecule: ribosomal RNA, 508 nt
Filed under: uncultured bacterium
Lineage: Bacteria
Description: bacterial SSU rRNA
Rfam family: Bacterial small subunit ribosomal RNA
Source: RNAcentral
UAGUCCACGCCGUAAACGAUGGUCACUAGCUGUUCGGCAUUUGCUGAGUGGCUAAGCGAAAGUGAUAAGUGACCCACCUGGGGAGUACGUUCGCAAGAAUGAAACUCAAAGGAAUUGACGGGGGCCCGCACAAGCGGUGGAGCAUGUGGUUUAAUUCGAUGAUACGCGAGGAACCUUACCAGGGCUUAAAUGGGAGAUGACAGGAGCAGAGACGCUCUUUUCUUCGGACAUCUUUCAAGGUGCUGCAUGGUUGUCGUCAGCUCGUGCCGUGAGGUGUCAGGUUAAGUCCUAUAACGAGCGCAACCCCUACCGUUAGUUGCCAGCAUGUAAAGAUGGGGACUCUAACGGGACUGCCGGUGCAAACCGUGAGGAAGGUGGGGAUGACGUCAAAUCAUCACGGCCCUUACGUCCUGGGGCUACACACGUGCUACAAUGGUCGGUACAGAGGGAAGCUACCCUGCAAAGGGAUGCGGAUCUAUAAAGCCGAUCACAGUUCGGAUCGGGGUCU